This 491-nucleotide ribosomal RNA is filed under the name uncultured bacterium. RNAcentral describes it as "partial 16S ribosomal RNA". It matches the Rfam family "Bacterial small subunit ribosomal RNA", at positions 29 to 506 of the family's 1533-position model. The record is from RNAcentral.
AGUGAACGCUGGCGGUAGGCCUAACACAUGCAAGUCGAACGGCAGCACAGUAAGAGCUUGCUCUUACGGGUGGCGAGUGGCGGACGGGUGAGGAAUACAUCGGAAUCUACUUUUUCGUGGGGGAUAACGUAGGGAAACUUACGCUAAUACCGCAUACGACCUACGGGUGAAAGCAGGGGAUCUUCGGACCUUGCGCGAUUGAAUGAGCCGAUGUCGGAUUAGCUAGUUGGCGGGGUAAAGGCCCACCAAGGCGACGAUCCGUAGCUGGUCUGAGAGGAUGAUCAGCCAAACUGGAAGUGAGACACGGUCCAGAAUCCUACGGGAGGCAGCAGUGGGGAAUAUUGGAAAAGGGGCGAAAGCCUGAUCCAGCCAGACCGCGUGGGUGAAGAAGGCCUUCGGGUUGUAAAGCCCUUUUGUUGGGAAAGAAAAGAAGCAGGUUAAUACCCCGCUGUUCUGACGGUACCCAAAGAAUAAGCACCGGCUAACUUCGU